RNAcentral lists this ribosomal RNA (207 nucleotides) under uncultured bacterium. RNAcentral's name for it is "partial 16S ribosomal RNA". It matches the Rfam family "Bacterial small subunit ribosomal RNA", at positions 568 to 774 of the family's 1533-position model. The record is from RNAcentral.
UGCGCAGGUGGGUUGGUAAGUUUGGUGUGAAAGCUUCGGGCUUAACCCGGAAAAUGCAUUGAAUACUACUGAUCUGGAGGGUUGGAGGGGGGACUGGAAUUCUUGGUGUAGCAGUGAAAUGCGUAGAUAUCAAGAGGAACACCAGUGGCGAAGGCGAGUCCCUGGACAAACCCUGACACUGAGGCACGAAAGCCAAGGGAGCAAACA